This 85-nucleotide transfer RNA is filed under the name Felis catus (domestic cat). It matches the Rfam family "tRNA". From Rfam's summary of the family: Transfer RNA (tRNA) molecules are approximately 80 nucleotides in length. Their secondary structure includes four short double-helical elements and three loops (D, anti-codon, and T loops). Lineage: Eukaryota; Metazoa; Chordata; Mammalia; Carnivora; Felidae. RNAcentral also lists the same sequence under 4 other names. The record is from Rfam by way of RNAcentral.
ACCUGGGUGGCUCAGUUGGUUAAGCGUCUGACUUUGGCUCAGGUCAUGAUCUCGCUGUUGGUGGGUUCGAGCCCCGCUUCGGGCU